This 1185-nucleotide ribosomal RNA is filed under the name Pratylenchus hippeastri. RNAcentral's name for it is "eukaryotic LSU rRNA". The stretch from base 1 to 193 matches the Rfam family "Eukaryotic small subunit ribosomal RNA", at positions 1641 to 1831 of the family's 1831-position model. The record is from RNAcentral. Lineage: Eukaryota; Metazoa; Nematoda; Chromadorea; Rhabditida; Pratylenchidae.
UUGAUUACGUCCCUGCCCUUUGUACACACCGCCCGUCGCUGCCCGGGACUGAGCCAUUUCGAGAAACUUGGGGACCGCUGAUUUCCAGGCUUUCGGGUCUGCUUUUCGGUGGGAACCAAUUUAAUCGCAGUGGCUUGAACCGGGCAAAAGUCGUAACAAGGUAGCUGUAGGUGAACCUGCUGCUGGAUCAUUACACAAACGCCAAAAAUGGUCAACCUUUUACGCAUGUGUUGCACAGAGCACUCACUCUCAUAAGCCUUCUUGGGAGUUGGGGAGUGCGAGUCAUUUGUGUGUCAGUCAAGCAUAGAACGGCACAAACGGCGCCUAUCCGCUCAGCCAUAUGGAGAAAAUAUUAUGGUUCCGUCAUCACCAUGUGUUGCCUUGCAUCUGGUGUUGGUGGCUUUUGCGAUGGAGCGGUCAAGUAAACGGCUAACGCUGGUGUCUGUGUGUUGCUGAGCAGUCGUAUUCGUCCGUGGCUGUGAUGAGGCAAUGCGGUAGGGUCUGCACGUAUGCCUUCUCGUGUAUGGCUUAAGACUUAAUGAGCCCAUUCAGUGUGGGGACGCCAGCAAAACCUUUUUUUCCACAUUUUUUUUAUGCUAUGAAAGCAAACAAACGAAAAAUUCUAGUCUUAUCGGUGGAUCACUCGGCUCGUAGGUCGAUGAAGAACGCAGCUAACUGCGAUAAAUAGUGUGAACUGCAGAAACCUUGAACACAAAAGCUUCGAAUGCACAUUGCACCAUGGGAGUCUUAUCCCUUGGUAUGCCUGGUUCAGGGUCGUAAACCCUAAAACGCAUAGAUAUGCGUGAAAAAUGAUAAGAUCACUCGAUUGACACCCACAGAGUGUUCUUGUAACUCGAAAAUGUGUCGUGUAAUUGGCGUGUUGUGAGGUGGACACCUCGGCUUUGUAUGUGGACAUACAAACCAUAGCUAGGGUGGACAUCGGUGGGGACAUCUCGAAUCACUUCAGGCCAGUGUGCUGUGAAUAAGCGCACGACAUAAAUUUGCGUGUGUAUACAUCACAAAGUCCAACGCCUUCUGGACUACGUGUUCUCAAGUGUGUGUACACCCAAAAAUAAAUUCGCAUUUUCGACCUGAACUCAGAGAUGACUACCCGCUGAACUUAAGCAUAUCAGUAAGCGGAGGAAAAGAAACUAACAAGGAUUCCCUUAGUAACGGCGAGUGAAA